UUUGCUGUGGUGCAAUGGCAGCACGCCUGGUUUUGGUCCGGGUAGUAGUGGUUCGAAUCCAUUCAGGAAAA
RNAcentral lists this transfer RNA (71 nucleotides) under Mucilaginibacter sp. AK015. RNAcentral's name for it is "tRNA-Gln". It matches the Rfam family "tRNA". Rfam says of the family: Transfer RNA (tRNA) molecules are approximately 80 nucleotides in length. Their secondary structure includes four short double-helical elements and three loops (D, anti-codon, and T loops). Lineage: Bacteria; Pseudomonadati; Bacteroidota; Sphingobacteriia; Sphingobacteriales; Sphingobacteriaceae. The record is from RNAcentral.